CCUUACCCGCUGAACUUAAGCAUAUCACUAAGCGGAGGAGAAGAAACUAACCAGGAUGCCCCUAGUAAUGGCGAAUGAAGCGGGCAGAGCUCACGCCGCCAAUCUGGAGGUCUUUGACAGACUCUGUCUCUUACGACCCCCCGAAUUGUAGUCUAGAAAGGCGCCAUCGGCCGCGUCCGCCGCUCAAAUCCCUUGGAACGGGGUAUCGGAGAAGGUGAGAAUCCUGUGCCGUGGCGGAUAGCGGUCGCACGAUGCGUCCUUGCAGAGUCGGGUUGCUUGGGAUUGCAGCUUGAAGUGGGUGGUAAAUUCCAUCUAAAGCUAAAUACUGGCGAGAGACCGAUAGCGAACAAGUACCGUGAGGGAAAGAUGCAAAGAACUUUGAAAAGAGAGUUAAAGAGUGCUUGAAAUCGGCAAGAGGAAACCCGUUUGUGCCCGGCAUCGCGCCGUCGACUCAGCCGCGCUCUUGGGCGCGGUGCACUUUGUCGGCGCGGGUCAGCCGCGGCUCCUCCUGCUUCACGAGGCUGUUUGCAGGGCCUCACGGCGAGCAUUCAGCUGGGUCGCGGGGGUGGCGCCGGUUGACGGAACGGGCACAACCGACCCGUCUAGAAACACGGACCAAGGAGUCUGACACGUGUGCGAGUACCCGGGUGGCAAGCCCGCGUGCGCAAUGAAAGUGAAGGGCGUGCCCCGCCAACCGACCUUGAUCUUCUGUGAAGGGUUUGAGUGUAGCACAUGCGUCGGGACCCGAAAGAUGGUGAACUAUGCCUGAGGAGGGUGAAGCCAGAGGAAGCUCUGGUGGAGGCUCGUAGCGAUACUGACGUGCAAAUCGUUCGUCGAACUUGGGUAUAGGGGCGAAAGACUAAUCGAACCAUCUAGUAGCUGGUUCCCUCCGAAGUUUCCCUCAGGA
Molecule: ribosomal RNA, 907 nt
Filed under: uncultured eukaryote
Lineage: Eukaryota
Description: eukaryotic LSU rRNA
Rfam family: Eukaryotic large subunit ribosomal RNA
Source: RNAcentral